AUUGAACGCUGGCGGCAUGCCUUACACAUGCAAGUCGAACGGCAGCACGGGAGCAAUCCUGGUGGCGAGUGGCGAACGGGUGAGUAAUAUAUCGGAACGUGCCCAGUCGUGGGGAUAACGUAGCGAAAGUUACGCUAAUACCGCAUACGAUCUACGGAUGAAAGCGGGGGAUCGCAAGACCUCGCGCGAUUGGAGCGGCCGAUAUCAGAUUAGGUAGUUGGUGAGGUAAAGGCUCACCAAGCCGACGAUCUGUAGCUGGUCUGAGAGGACGACCAGCCACACUGGGACUGAGACACGGCCCAGACUCCUACGGGAGGCAGCAGUGGGGAAUUUUGGACAAUGGGCGCAAGCCUGAUCCAGCAAUGCCGCGUGCAGGAUGAAGGCCU
This 386-nucleotide ribosomal RNA is filed under the name uncultured bacterium. RNAcentral describes it as "bacterial SSU rRNA". It matches the Rfam family "Bacterial small subunit ribosomal RNA", at positions 30 to 417 of the family's 1533-position model. The record is from RNAcentral.